Oreochromis niloticus (Nile tilapia) is the source of this 783-nucleotide long non-coding RNA. RefSeq lists it as uncharacterized. The transcript has 2 exons. The record is from RefSeq and is a predicted model, not a curated record. Lineage: Eukaryota; Metazoa; Chordata; Actinopteri; Cichliformes; Cichlidae.
UGUCCGUAUCUUUGACAUUUAUAGCACCUGAGGGGUGGUGGCACAUAUGGUCUAACAGGAAAGCUCAUGCAACCUAUUUUAACUCUGUCCGGCAGGACUGCCUCCUGGAAUUCCAAUAGAACCGACAGGCUACUCACCCUCUCCCCAUUAAUCGUUUUUAGCAGUCUUUGUACUUUGCUGACCUCACCACCAUUAAUACAUCGCUUGAGCUUCUCCAGGUCCUCUUCUACAGGGAUACCCGUAAUCACCCCCCGUGUCACUUUGUUGUCUCCUAAGAUCCUUGACACUAACCACAAAGCCAAAGCAUGUAAUUGCAUCAUCAGGUCUGCAGCAGUAUGUUCUGGACACUCUGGUGAAGAGAGGAGCUGAGCUGUCAUCUGAUCACCAUCUGGGGCUCUGUGGACUUGAGUUACCUGAAACCUGAAGGAUUCUCUCAUUGUCUGCUGUUUGGAAAGGACUUACUUGUAACAGAGCUGGAAAACUCACCUGGAAAACUCACCUGCCCAUCCACUCUCCACCCACUCAGCCUUCUGAAACCUUCACUUACCUCCCUGACACAGAAACUCUAAAAGUGAAACACAAGAAAGGACUCUAAUAAAUACUAUAUAAGCAAUUCUGACUGCAUUGAUACGCAGCAGUUGUUCUCUCGGGCAGUUCUCUGGUGUCUCCCUGCUCUGUCCCUCUGCAGGAAACCUACUUACCUGCCCCUCUGUCUUUGAACCUUCUCAAAAUAAAAGCAUGUAAAGCUUUAGCCUCAUGUGGGCUGCUUUAGAGUCGAUGCAU